Long non-coding RNA from Drosophila virilis, 286 nucleotides. RefSeq lists it as uncharacterized. The record is from RefSeq and is a predicted model, not a curated record. Lineage: Eukaryota; Metazoa; Arthropoda; Insecta; Diptera; Drosophilidae.
UCAACUGAAAGACGAUAACAGGAAACAGUUAAAGACUUUAUUAUGCAUUACGCCUGGGGAAGUUGCACUCAAGUUGUUUUAAGUUUGAAUAAGUGCAUAAAUCAAAAUUAAGCAAGAAUGCGGAGAUUUACAAAAAGACAUCGUCAUGCCGAGCCAUGCCAGAGCCCACUAGCCUAAACUUCAAGUACUCACACAUGUCGGCUUCCUUACUAACACUUUGCUUGCCCAUACUUUGCCAUUUAACAUGUAAUCAUGCUGUGAAUAAAAUGCCAAGAUGCACAAUAAA